This 421-nucleotide ribosomal RNA is filed under the name uncultured bacterium. RNAcentral describes it as "bacterial SSU rRNA". It matches the Rfam family "Bacterial small subunit ribosomal RNA", at positions 355 to 774 of the family's 1533-position model. The record is from RNAcentral.
UAAGGAAUAUUGGUCAAUGGACGCAAGUCUGAACCAGCCAUGCCGCGUGAAGGAUGAAGGUCCUCUGGAUUGUAAACUUCUUUUAUCUGGGACGAAAACGGGAUUUUUAUCUCAAUUGACGGUACCAGAGGAAUAAGCACCGGCUAACUCCGUGCCAGCAGCCGCGGUAAUACGGAGGGUGCGAGCGUUAUCCGGAUUUACUGGGUUUAAAGGGUGCGUAGGUGGGCUUAUAAGUCAGUGGUGAAAUCUCCGAGCUUAACUUGGAAACUGCCGUUGAUACUAUAGGUCUUGAAUUAACUGGAGGUAAGCGGAAUAUGUCAUGUAGCGGUGAAAUGCUUAGAUAUGACAUAGAACACCGAUUGCGAAGGCAGCUUACUACAUAUAAAUUGACGCUGAGGCACGAAAGCGUGGGGAGCAAACA